CUUGGCAACCAAUGACCCUUUCUUUGUAAACAUCUCAGGACUCACCCUCCUGACUUCCCCUCGGCACCAUCUUUAACUGGCUCAUGUGCCCUUCAAAGGAGUUUACUAGAGUUACUUUUAAGAGCAUGGAUGACUCAAAGAGCCUUGAUGAAAUCCACGGGAGGGAAAACUGGUGUGAACUGAUGUGAAGGCAUCAAAAGGUUUGUGUUUGUUGUUGAAGAUGUGAUCUCUUGACUUCCUGCUCCUGCCACCGUGCUUGCCACUUGCUGCUAUGUCCCUGGCCAUUAUGGACUCUUCUGGAACUGUAAUCCCAAAUAAAAUAUUUUC
Molecule: long non-coding RNA, 327 nt
Filed under: Cricetulus griseus (Chinese hamster)
Lineage: Eukaryota; Metazoa; Chordata; Mammalia; Rodentia; Cricetidae
Description: lncRNA (ENSCGRG00015034936.1)
Source: RNAcentral